This 131-nucleotide microRNA precursor is filed under the name Picea abies (Norway spruce). RNAcentral describes it as "miR3693d stem-loop (pab-MIR3693d)". Lineage: Eukaryota; Viridiplantae; Streptophyta; Pinopsida; Pinales; Pinaceae. The record is from miRBase by way of RNAcentral.
GGUGCUCUUGAACUGCUUAUAGAUGGGCGCUGCUCAGAUGCCUUAAUCAAACACUUCGGCAGAUCUGUUUGUUGAAUAUACAAGCCCCCAUUAAUGAGCAAAAGCCCAUCUAUCAGCAGUUCAAGACCACC